Molecule: ribosomal RNA, 422 nt
Filed under: uncultured bacterium
Lineage: Bacteria
Description: bacterial SSU rRNA
Rfam family: Bacterial small subunit ribosomal RNA
Source: RNAcentral
UGGGGAAUAUUGGACAAUGGGCGGAAGCCUGAUCCAGCAACGCCGCGUGAGGGAUGACGGCCUUCGGGUUGUAAACCUCUUUCGCCUAGGACGAAGCUGCUCAUUUUUGUGGGUGGUGACGGUACUGGGAUAAGAAGGACCGGCCAACUACGUGCCAGCAGCCGCGGUAAUACGUAGGGUCCGAGCGUUGUCCGGAAUUAUUGGGCGUAAAGGGCUCGUAGGCGGUUUGUCGCGUCGGGAGUGAAAACGUACAGCUUAACUGUGCGCUUGCUUUCGAUACGGGCAGACUGGAGGUAUGCAGGGGAGAACGGAAUUCCUGGUGUAGCGGUGAAAUGCGCAGAUAUCAGGAGGAACACCGGUGGCGAAGGCGGUUCUCUGGGCAUUACCUGACGCUGAGGAGCGAAAGUGUGGGGAGCGAACAG